UAGGGAAUCUUCCGCAAUGGACGAAAGUCUGACGGAGCAACGCCGCGUGAGUGAAGAAGGAUUUCGGUUCGUAAAACUCUGUUGUUAGGGAAGAAAAAAUGUAUAGUAACUAUAUACAAAAGAGACGGUACCUAACCAGAAAGCCACGGCUAACUACGUGCCAGCAGCCGCGGUAAUACGUAGGUGGCAAGCGUUGUGCGGAAUUAUUGGGCGUAAAGCGCGCGCAGGUGGUUUAGAAAGUCUGAUGUGAAAGCCCACGGCUCAACCGUGGAGGGUCAUUGGAAACUAAUAAACUUGAGUGCAGGAGAGAAAAGUGGAAUUCCUAGUGUAGCGGUGAAAUGCGUAGAGAUUAGGAGGAACACCGGUGGCGAAAGCGGCUUUUUGGCCUGCAACUGACACUGAGGCGCGAAAGCGUGGGGAGCAAACAGG
RNAcentral lists this ribosomal RNA (429 nucleotides) under Verrucomicrobiota bacterium. Its description in RNAcentral is "Verrucomicrobia bacterium partial 16S ribosomal RNA". It matches the Rfam family "Bacterial small subunit ribosomal RNA", at positions 355 to 776 of the family's 1533-position model. The record is from RNAcentral. Lineage: Bacteria; Pseudomonadati; Verrucomicrobiota.